UUUAAAGGUCGAACAGACCUAUUACUUAAAGCUUCUGCACUUUAAAAUUUCUUUAAUUCAACAUCGAGGUCGCAAACUUUAUUAUAGAUAUGAACUCUCCAACAAAAUUACGCUGUUAUCCCUAAGGUAACUUAUUCUAAUAAUCACUAUGAAUGGAUCAAAAAUUCAUAAAUCAAUGUAAAAUUAUUAAGAAAGUUUUUUUUAUUUCCCUGUCACCCCAACAAAAUAUUUUAUUAUUUAAAUUAAUCAUAUUUUUCUAACAAAAACUUAAAUAAAUAAAUAUAAAGUUCUAUAGGGUCUUCUCGUCCUCUAAUAAUAUUCAAGCCUUUUGACUAGAAAGCUAAAUUAUUAAAAUUUUAAAAAUGAGACAGUUUGUAUCUCGUUCAACCAUUCAUACUAGCCUCUAAUUAAAAGGCAAAUGAUUAUGCUACCUUUGCACAGUCAAGAUACUGCGGCCCUUCAAAAUUCAGUGGGCAGGUCAGACUUUAAAUUAUGAUCAAAAAGAC
This 506-nucleotide ribosomal RNA is filed under the name Myrmeleon solers. RNAcentral describes it as "partial 16S ribosomal RNA". Lineage: Eukaryota; Metazoa; Arthropoda; Insecta; Neuroptera; Myrmeleontidae. The record is from RNAcentral.